Molecule: ribosomal RNA, 298 nt
Filed under: Hemipyrellia pulchra
Lineage: Eukaryota; Metazoa; Arthropoda; Insecta; Diptera; Calliphoridae
Description: partial 12S ribosomal RNA
Source: RNAcentral
AAAAAUUUGGCGGUAUUUUAGUCUAUUCAGAGGAACCUGUUCUGUAAUCGAUAAUCCACGAUGGACCUUACUUAAGUUUGUAAUCAGUUUAUAUACCGUCGUUAUUAGAAUAUUUUAUAAGAAUGUUAAUUUUCAAAAUUUUUAAAAAGAAAAUAUAUCAGAUCAAGGUGUAGCUUAUAUUUAAGUAGAAAUGGGUUACAAUAAAUUUAUUUAAACGGAUAUAAAUUUGAAAUAUUUAUUGAAGGUGGAUUUGAUAGUAAAAUUAUAAAGAUUAAUAAUUUGAUUUUAGCUCUAAAAU